UACUAGAGUAGCACUCGCAUAUCAAUAAGCGGAGGAAAAGAAACUAACAAGGAUUCCCCUAGUAACGGCGAGUGAAGCGGGAAGAGCUCAAAUUUGAAAUCUUAAAGGGUUUCCCUUUACGAAUUGUAGUUUAAAGAAGUGUUUUCUGUUGAGGUUUUGGUAAAAGUUCUUUGGAAUAGGACAUCAUAGAGGGUGAGAAUCCCGUAUUUGACCUUUACUUUCAACUUUGUGAUACACUUUCAAAGAGUCGGAUUGUUUGGGAAUGCAGUCCAAAAUGGGUGGUAAAUUUCAUCUAAAGCUAAAUAUUGGCGAGAGACCGAUAGCGAACAAGUACCGUGAGGGAAAGAUGAAAAGAACUUUGAAAAGAGAGUUAAACAGUACGUGAAAUUGUCAAAAGGGAAGCGUUUGACACCAGUGUUGUUUUUCUGAAAAUCAAUUAAAGAACUGUUUAUGCUAAGCUGUUUAGACUUUAUCAGCUAUCUGUUUAGUUUUGAGCUUUUCUUUAAUGCACUUUUCAGUUAACAAGUCAACAUCAAUUUCUUUUGCUGUAAAAAAGCUUGAGGAAGGUGGCUUGAGAUUCGUCUUAAGUGUUUAUAGCCUCUUGCCUAUGCAGUCGGAGAGAUUGAGGUCUGCAGCGUAGAUCCUUCGGGGCUAAAUGCAUUUGUGCUAAGUUAUAGCAUUUUAUAGACAACUUGUUGACUAUGAUUUGUCUUGUAGCUUACUCGCUUAUGUUAUUUUACCUACGCUUAGGAUGUUGAACUCUAUCACACACAG
RNAcentral lists this ribosomal RNA (774 nucleotides) under uncultured Neocallimastigales. Its description in RNAcentral is "partial large subunit ribosomal RNA". It matches the Rfam family "Eukaryotic large subunit ribosomal RNA", at positions 20 to 627 of the family's 3401-position model. Lineage: Eukaryota; Fungi; Neocallimastigomycota; Neocallimastigomycetes; Neocallimastigales. The record is from RNAcentral.